GGUCGCGAAGUUCAUGGCCGGCCUCCGGUCGCGACCGAGACUUCCGAAGUCUGCAAGACUUCGGAAGUCUGCCAGCUCUCGAGUUCGCCACGAAGCCAGGCCGUGAAGCGUUCCGAGCCGCGGGCGUUCAAGUGAAUCAGAUCGGCGAAGUCGGCGUUCGUCAGGCCGACGGCUUGUCGACUCGCCCAGACAACCUGGACGCCGCGCUUUAUCGCCAGUUCGCGCAGCGCCUGCCGAUACCAUGCGAAGACCGACGGGAAGUGGAUCUCCUCGAGGUCGGCCGACACGG
RNAcentral lists this unclassified non-coding RNA (289 nucleotides) under uncultured fungus. RNAcentral's name for it is "sequence contains ITS1". The record is from RNAcentral. Lineage: Eukaryota; Fungi.